This is a long non-coding RNA of Dicentrarchus labrax (European seabass), 312 nucleotides long. RefSeq lists it as uncharacterized. NCBI's taxonomy places the organism in Eukaryota, Metazoa, Chordata, Actinopteri, Moronidae. The record is from RefSeq and is a predicted model, not a curated record. The transcript is spliced from 4 exons.
GGGAUGGGGCCGAUCCAAUACCGAUACUGUGGGUGAGGUAAAUAAGACCCGUACCCUCUGUGGGUGAGGUAAAUAAAGACCCGUACCCUCUGUGGGUGAGGUAAAUAAAGACCCGUACCCUCUGUGGGUGAGGUAAAUAAAGACCCGUACCCUCUGUGGGUGAGGUAAAUAAGACCCGUACCCUCUGUGGGUGAGGUAAAUAAAGACCCGUACCCUCUGUGGGUGAGGUAAAUAAGACCCGUACCCUCUGUGGGUGAGGUAAAUAAAGACCCGUACCCUCUGUGGGUGAGGUAAAUAAAGACCCGUACCCUC